AGUCGAGCGAGUCUGCCUUGAAGAUCGGAGUGCUUGCACUCUGUGAAACAAGAUACAGGCUAGCGGCGGACGGGUGAGUAACACGUGGGUAACCUGCCCAAGAGAUCGGGAUAACACCUGGAAACAGAUGCUAAUACCGGAUAACAACAGAUGAUGCCUAUCAACUGUUUAAAAGAUGGUUCUGCUAUCACUCUUGGAUGGACCUGCGGUGCAUUAGCUAGUUGGUAGGGUAACGGCCUACCAAGGCGAUGAUGCAUAGCCGAGUUGAGAGACUGAUCGGCCACAUUGGGACUGAGACACGGCCCAAACUCCUACGGGAGGCAGCAGUAGGGAAUCUUCCACAAUGGACGCAAGUCUGAUGGAGCAACGCCGCGUGAGUGAAGAAGGGUUUCGGCUCGUAAAGCUCUGUUGUUGGUGAAGAAGGACAGGGGUAGUAACUGACCUUUGUUUGACGGUAAUCAAUUAGAAAGUCACGGCUAACUACGUGCCAGCAGCCGCGGUAAUACGUAGGUGGCAAGCGUUGUCCGGAUUUAUUGGGCGUAAAGCGAGUGCAGGCGGUUCGAUAAGUCUGAUGUGAAAGCCUUCGGCUCAACCGGAGAAUUGCAUCAGAAACUGUCGAGCUUGAGUACAGAAGAGGAGAGUGGAACUCCAUGUGUAGCGGUGAAAUGCGUAGAUAUAUGGAAGAACACCGGUGGCGAAGGCGGCUCUCUGGUCUGUUACUGACGCUGAGGCUCGAAAGCAUGGGUAGCGAACAGGAUUAGAUACCCUGGUAGUCCAUGCCGUANACGAUGAGUGCUAAGUGUUGGGAGGUUUCCGCCUCUCAGUGCUGCAGCUA
RNAcentral lists this ribosomal RNA (835 nucleotides) under uncultured bacterium. Its description in RNAcentral is "bacterial SSU rRNA". It matches the Rfam family "Bacterial small subunit ribosomal RNA", at positions 60 to 854 of the family's 1533-position model. The record is from RNAcentral.